UAAGACUUUAUGUCGACGUAUAGGGACUGACACCUGCCCGGUGCUGGAAGGUUAAGGAAGGGAGUUAGGCGCAAGCCAAAGCCCUCGACCGAAGCCCCAGUAAACGGCGGCCGUAACUAUAACGGUCCUAAGGUAGCGAAAUUCCUUGUCGGGUAAGUUCCGACCUGCACGAAUGGUGUAACGACUUGGUCACUGUCUCAACCACGGGCUCGGUGAACUUGUGGUACCGGUGAAGACGCCGGUUACCCGCAUAUGGACGGAAAGACCCUAUGCACCUUUUACUGCACCCUAUUAUUGGGUUCGGACAAAGCAUGUGUAGCAUAGGUGGGAGACUGUGAAGUCGGGGCGCUAGCUUCGAUGGAGUCAACAGUGAAAUACCACCCUUGCUUUGUUGGAAUUCUAACCUAGUACCGUAAUCCGGUACAGGAACAGUGAUAGGCGGGUAGUUUGACUGGGG
RNAcentral lists this ribosomal RNA (457 nucleotides) under uncultured bacterium. RNAcentral describes it as "bacterial LSU rRNA". It matches the Rfam family "Bacterial large subunit ribosomal RNA", at positions 1827 to 2279 of the family's 2925-position model. The record is from RNAcentral.